UAUUUUUUCUCAACUCAAGAUUCAUUAGGAGAUACAAAUGUAGUCCCCGGAGCACGUGCUGGGGAAGCAGGGGGGCGGGGGGGGGGCGCGGGCAGAGAGGCUCUUCAGGAGAGGAAAGGUGGAGCCCAGGUGGUCUCGAUGUUGACCAUGAGUCAGUACUUGGUUUUCUGAUUAAGGCAGGAGGUGUGGGGUGAAUCUUGCCUCUUUCAGCUCCAUCCAUCUCCCCAUCCCCACAGCAGUUGAACAAAAACACCCCUUCUCUGCAGUGCUUUCCUCUUUAUAAUGGAGGAGAGGCUGCCCCAACUCCAUGGAUUCCAAAUAGGAAAGAAGAGACGUUGCGUGUGUGUGUGUGUGUGUGUGUGUGUGUGUGUGUGUGUGUGUGUGUGUGUGUGUAGCGAGCUCUAGGAUUUGAGACACAUUGAUUCCUACCCCUUUGCCGCUCACCUGCUGUGUGGUCUUGGUCAUGCUAGUGCAUGUCUUUAGACAACAACAUUCUAAGACUCUUCUAGAGGCAGAUGUUAUAAAGAAACCUCAUUGCUUUAAAAAAAAAAAAAAGCUGAAGAGAUAGCUCAGCAGUUAGUGCUCACUAUUUGCAGAGAAUCCAGGUUCGGUUCCCAGUACCCACGUGAUGCCUGAUCUUCCUGUAACUAUAGUUCGUGGGGGAUCUUAUCCCCUUUUCUGGCCUCCUUGGACUCACACAGGCAUAGAGUGCAUUUAACUACAUGCAGGGAUUUAUACACAAAUAGUCUUUUAAAAGUACAAACAUUAAGGUUGGGAAUAUAGCUCUGUGAUAGAGCACUUACCUCGCAUGCACAAAGCACUGGGUUUGAUCCCUUGCUCAUAAUCAGUCAACAAAACUGUGUAGAGCCAAGCCUUGUAAGUGCAGAAGGUAGAGGCAGGAGGGUCCUAAGUUUGAGCUAGCCUGACUACAUAGCAAGUUCUAGGAUACUCAGAGCUACAUAGUAGAUCCCAUCUCAAAAACAAAACAAAGAACAACAACAAAACCAAACCAGAAG
RNAcentral lists this long non-coding RNA (1016 nucleotides) under Mus musculus (house mouse). RNAcentral describes it as "long non-coding RNA chr11:19937166-19938182". The record is from RNAcentral. Lineage: Eukaryota; Metazoa; Chordata; Mammalia; Rodentia; Muridae.